GUGUCAUCCUAUUACAGUGUCAUCCCAUCAUUCCAGUGUCAUUCCAAGCAGCAGUAUUGUUCCAUAGCCUACUUCAGUAGCCUAUGUGUUGCUUGAUUUGACCCAGUUUCCCCACAGUUCGCUAAAAGGACAUGUGCAACAAAUGCAGUGAAAAUGGAAAAAACUACAGGUUUACUGCCAAAAUGAGAAGUAUACUAGACCCUACUACACAACAGUAGCCUCUCCACUUGAUGUUAACAAACUGAACCACAACAGCUGUCUUCAGAUAAGCCAGAGUGGAACACAGACAUGGGUCAGAGAGACACAAGCCAAAGCCAUGGGUCUGGCCAGUCACAACCAGGUAAUCAACUGACCAGUCAUAUAACAGAUCACCAUAGGCCCAGGCGUCAGGAAAGUAACACAACACAGAGCCAUCCAUCCCUCUCUCUCUCUCUCUCUCUCUCUCUCUCUCAGUCCUCGCUCUGUGAAUCUGUCAUUCUCUCUCACCCUCUCUCUCUCUCAGUCCUCGCUCUGUAAAUCUGUCAUUCUCUCUCACCCUCUCUCUCUCUCUCAGUCCUCGCUCUGUAAAUCUGUCAUUCUCUCUCACCCUCUCUCUCUCUCUCAGUCCUCGCUCUGUAAAUCUGUCAUUCUCUCUCACCCUCUCUCUCUCUCUCUGUCCUCGCUCUGUAAAUCUGUCAUUCUCUCUCACCCUCUCUCUCUCUCUCAGUCCUCGCUCUGUAAAUCUGUCAUUCUCUCUCACCCUCUCUCUCUCUCUCUCUCUCUCUCAGUCCUCGCUCUGUAAAUCUGUCAUUCCCUCUCACCCUCUGUCUCUCUCUGAGUUCAGUUUAGAGGCUGGCAUUAACUGCUCAGUAUAAAGUGCAGGCCAGGGAAACAGAUUAAUGGCUGAACCUGUUUACAGACAAACCUCUAACAGGCCCUAUCAUCCCUGAAGGAACAAUAGGGGGAAUUGUUUCCAUUUACUGUGAUUGUUCAAUUACAGUUAAUCUGUUGGAAUAACCAUGGCUAUUUUCCAAUUGAAUUAAUCUGGAUUGGAUGUUUGUUUUGCUAAAACAAAGAGCUCAGAGGGCGAGACCCAUCUGGAGAGAAACAAAUCUCAUUAAUACGGUACAAUGUCCAGUAUCACAUCAGCAAGACCAUGGGCCCAGGGUCAAAAGUAGUGCACUAUAUAGGGAAUAGGGUGCCAGCUCACAACAUGGACGCAUUAUAAGGUGGGAGCACAAAUGGUUUUAACCAGGCUUUUUGGAUAGGUAGGGGAUACACUGUAAUAAUAGCGUGUGAAAAAUACUGACCCAAUAAAAAUGUUGUGAGAGAGUGACAAAAGGGGGGAGGGGGGUGUAAGCGGAGAGAGGAAAGUAACAGAGAGAUAUAGAGAGAGAAAGACUGAAAGAGGGGGGCAGGAGGGAGGAAGGCAGAAGGGCAGGGUGAAGAAGUUGGCGGUGUCAAUCUAGGUCUGCCAUCAGUAAUCUCAUAGAAUGGAAGUAUACCGUGGGCACAGAGUGCUGACUGACUGCACCAUUUCUUCCUCUCCAGACUGCAGUCCCGUGACUAGCUCCCUCCACAGUCACACAUUCACAUGAAGCAGCUAAAACUAUCAAUAGUCUAAUGUUAUGCCCACAGAUCUCAGUUCAUCAUAGGGACUGAUGUGUGGGUAGUCUUCAUUUCUUUUUAACUCACCCUUUCCCAGUCCCCUCCCACUCACAAGGCAGGCAAUACGCUGACCUCAUCUUUACUAGAGUCUGUUUGCCUACUAAUCUCACUGUAACCCCCCCUCCAGGUCUGUGAUUACCAGGGAUUGGAACCGGUUCAGAGAACAGAACCGAAAACCAGAAUAUAACAAAAAUGUUCUAGGAACAGGAACUGAACCGGGAACGAAAGUGACCCAUACUGUUCCGGAAAAUACCCAUUAUUUUAAAAGCAUGGAAACUGGUUAAUAACGUUUGUCUACGUUCCGGAAUUGUUUUUCUAGUCCCACAAAAAACUGCUACAAACCGCCUAUGCAAAGCCCUCACUCAGAAACGUAUUCCAGCGUCUGCCUGCAAGCUGAAAAUCUUUGCCAGAGUGUGUGUGCCCCUCCCCCUUCUGAAGCAUAGACUACUGUACUGACUUUACCAUAGACUACUGUACUGGCGUUACCAUAGACUACUGUACUGACGUUACCAUAGACUACUGUACUGACGUUACCAUAGACUACUGUACUGACUUUACCAUAGGCUACUGUACUGGCGUUACCAUAGGCUACUGUACUGACGUUACCAUAGACUACUGUACUGACGUUACCAUAGACUAGUGUACUGACGUUACCAUAGGCUACUGUACUGACUUUACCAUAGGCUACUGUACUGGCGUUACCAUAGGCUACUGUACUGACGUUACCAUAGACUACUGUACUGACGUUACCAUAGACUACUGUACUGACGUUACCAUAGGCUACUGUACUGACUUUACCAUAGGCUACUGUACUGACGUUACCAUGACUACUGUACUGACGUUACCAUAGGCUACUGUACUGACGUUACCAUAGGCUACUGUACUGACGUUACCAUAGGCUACUGUACUGACGUUACCAUAGACUACUGUACUGACGUUGCCAUAGACUACUGUACUGACGUUACCAUAGGCUACUGUACUGAAGUUACCAUAGGCUACUGUACUGACGUUACCAUAGACUACUGUACUGACGUUACCAUGACUACUGUACUGACGUUACCAUAGUCUACUGCACUGACGUUACCAUAGACUACUGUACUGACAUUACCAUAGGCUACUGUACUGACGUUACCAUAGGCUACUGUACUGAAGUUACCAUAGGCUACUGUACUGACGUUACCAUAGGCUACUGUACUGACUUUACCAUGACUACUGUACUGACGUUACCAUAGUCUACUGCACUGACGUUACCAUAGACUGCUGUACUGACGUUACCAUAGGCUACUGUACUGACUUUACCAUGACUACUGUACUGACGUUACCAUAGACUACUGUACUGACGUUACCAUAGGCUACUGUACUGACGUUACCAUAGGCUACUGUACUGACUUUACCAUGACUACUGUACUGACGUUACCAUAGACUACUGUACUGACGUUACCAUAGGCUACUGUACUGACGUUCCCAUAGACUACUGUACUGACGCUACCAUAGGCUACUGUACUGACGCUACCAUAGGCUACUGUACUGACGUUACCAUAGGCUACUGUACUGACGUUACCAUAUUCUACUGUACUGACAUUACCAUAGGCUACUGUACUGACGUUCCCAUAGACUACUGUACUGACUUUACCAUAGGCUACUGUACUGACGUUACCAUAGGCUACUGUACUGACGUUACUAUAGGCUACUGUACUGAUGUUAGAAGCGUGAGGAGAUGGGGGAGAGAUUUUUUUAUUAUCUAUAGAAGAAUGGAUUAACUUUUUCAAUGCUAGUUAAGGAUACUAUUUCACGUUGGAUUUAUUAUCUACGAAAAGGUAAGACUUGUUUUUAAUUAUGGUGCCGCUCUGCAUGCACAAGCUUGUUAGCAUGCUAGCUCAAAGGACAUUCAAGGUUCCUUCAUAGAAGCCGCUCCUCCGUAGGUAUAACUCUGUGGACCUAAUUCAGAUAAUGCAUGUCAUAACAAGAUACCUAGCACUUCAAGCCUGCUCCUCAACCCCUUCGUAAAAUUUCAGUCACAUCUUUUGCCAUAGGCUGUCCAUCACGAAUGCAAACAACUAGUUUGCCUGCUCUAUCCGCACUGAUUGGUGAAGUAAUGAGCUACAUGUAAAAAACUGUUGAUUUCACAGGUUAAAAAAGGAACAGAGAGGAACGAUAUAAACCGGUACUGUUUUUUGUUUCAAACCAGUUAAAAACUUUAUUUUGCUGGUCGGAACAGUGGAACGGAACGAAAAGUAUGGUGGUUCUGUUCAGAGCAAACAAUUGGAAAAUAAUUUUGGUUCCAACCCCUGCUGAUCACUACUUUGUUUCCUUUUCUGUCUCCCAUUCCUCCAACCCUAACCGCUCAACCCUUAUCCAGAUGGUCAUGCGCCGUCACAAUCUUAUCUCGCUCUCUUUCCCACUACUCUCUCCUCUUCUAUCCUAUCAUCUAUGCCUUCUGAUAAACCCUACUCUCUUCCCUUUCCGCAUCAUAUGACUCGCACUGUCUCCUUUCCCUACCGGACGGCUCGGUCCUCCGCUCCUGCUCUCUGGCUGAGUGACUCAUUGCGAGCUGACAGAACAGUGCUGCAGGCAGCUGAGCAAAAAUGUAGAAAAACUCAUCUUCAGGAGGACCUAUCAUCCUUUCACUCCCUCCUCUCUACCUUCUCGCCCUCUGUGUCCACUGCUAAAGCCACUUUCUAUCACUCUAAAUUUCAAGCUUCUGCCUCUAACCCUAGGAAAAUCUUUUCCACCUUCUCCUCUCUCCUUAAU
RNAcentral lists this long non-coding RNA (4398 nucleotides) under Salmo salar (Atlantic salmon). Its description in RNAcentral is "lncRNA (ENSSSAG00000084200.1)". The record is from RNAcentral. Lineage: Eukaryota; Metazoa; Chordata; Actinopteri; Salmoniformes; Salmonidae.